RNAcentral lists this ribosomal RNA (459 nucleotides) under uncultured bacterium. Its description in RNAcentral is "partial 16S ribosomal RNA". It matches the Rfam family "Bacterial small subunit ribosomal RNA", at positions 338 to 795 of the family's 1533-position model. The record is from RNAcentral.
CCUACGGGGGGCUGCAGUGAGGAAUAUUGGUCAAUGGGCGGGAGCCUGAACCAGCCAAGCCGCGUGAGGGAAGAAGGUACAGCGUAUCGUAAACCUCUUUUGUCAGGGAACAAAGGCGGGGACUAGUCCCCGGAUGAGGGUACCUGAAGAAAAAGCAUCGGCUAACUCCGUGCCAGCAGCCGCGGUAAUACGGAGGAUGCGAGCGUUAUCCGGAUUUAUUGGGUUUAAAGGGUGCGCAGGCGGCCUGUUAAGUCAGCGGGAAAAGCCCGGGGCUCAACCCCGGCGAGCCGUUGAAACUGGCGGGCUGGAGUUGGAGAGAAGUACGCGGAAUGCGCGGUGUAGCGGUGAAAUGCUUAGAUAUCGCGCAGAACCCCGAUUGCGAAGGCAGCGUACCGGCUCCACACUGACGCUGAGGCACGAAAGCGUGGGUAUCGAACAGGAUUAGAUACCCGAGUAGUC